Molecule: long non-coding RNA, 211 nt
Filed under: Fukomys damarensis (Damara mole-rat)
Lineage: Eukaryota; Metazoa; Chordata; Mammalia; Rodentia; Bathyergidae
Description: lncRNA (ENSFDAG00000025689.1)
Source: RNAcentral
AAGAAUGAACUUUACAUUUUGAAACAGGAAAAAAAGGUGUCUGUCUGGUCCCUCAGCUGGGCUGUCCACUUCCUACAGACACUGCUCCUCCUCGUUCCCAGUGUCCCCACCAAGCACCACAGGAGGAGGAAAUGUCACCAGUGACAGCUCCCGCCGUGGGGACGGAUGGGUGAGGAGGUCUUCGUGGGGCUCAGACACCCUUCCGGGUAUG